This 1346-nucleotide ribosomal RNA is filed under the name uncultured bacterium. RNAcentral's name for it is "bacterial SSU rRNA". It matches the Rfam family "Bacterial small subunit ribosomal RNA", at positions 28 to 1381 of the family's 1533-position model. The record is from RNAcentral.
GACGAACGCUGGCGGCGUGCUUAACACAUGCAAGUCGAACGGAAAGGCCCUGCUUUUGUGGGGUGCUCGAGUGGCGAACGGGUGAGUAACACGUGAGUAACCUGCCCUUGACUUUGGGAUAACUUCAGGAAACUGGGGCUAAUACCGGAUAGGAGCUCCUGCUGCAUGGUGGGGGUUGGAAAGUUUCGGCGGUUGGGGAUGGACUCGCGGCUUAUCAGCUUGUUGGUGGGGUAGUGGCUUACCAAGGCUUUGACGGGUAGCCGGCCUGAGAGGGUGACCGGCCACAUUGGGACUGAGAUACGGCCCAGACUCCUACGGGAGGCAGCAGUGGGGAAUAUUGCACAAUGGGCGGAAGCCUGAUGCAGCAACGCCGCGUGCGGGAUGACGGCCUUCGGGUUGUAAACCGCUUUCGCCUGUGACGAAGCGUGAGUGACGGUAAUGGGUAAAGAAGCACCGGCUAACUACGUGCCAGCAGCCGCGGUGAUACGUAGGGUGCGAGCGUUGUCCGGAUUUAUUGGGCGUAAAGGGCUCGUAGGUGGUUGAUCGCGUCGGAAGUGUAAUCUUGGGGCUUAACCCUGAGCGUGCUUUCGAUACGGGUUGACUUGAGGAAGGUAGGGGAGAAUGGAAUUCUUGGUGGAGCGGUGGAAUGCGCAGAUAUCAGGAGGAACACCAGUGGCGAAGGCGGUUCUCUGGGCCUUUCCCGACGCUGAGGAGCGAAAGCGUGGGGAGCGAACAGGCUUAGAUACCCUGGUAGUCCACGCUGUAAACGGUGGGUACUAGGUGUGGGGUCCAUUCCACGGGUUCCGUGCCGUAGCUAACGCUUUAAGUACCCCGCCUGGGGAGUACGGCCGCAAGGCUAAAACUCAAAGGAAUUGACGGGGCCCCGCACAAGCGGCGGAGCAUGCGGAUUAAUUCGAUGCAACGCGUAGAACCUUACCUGGGUUUGACAUGGAUCGGGAGCGCUCAGAGAUGGGUGUGCCUCUUUUGGGGUCGGUUCACAGGUGGUGCAUGGCUGUCGUCAGCUCGUGUCGUGAGAUGUUGGGUUAAGUCCCGCAACGAGCGCAACCCUUGUUCACUGUUGCCAGCACGUUAUGGUGGGGACUCAGUGGAGACCGCCGGGGUCAACUCGGAGGAAGGUGGGGAUGACGUCAAGUCAUCAUGCCCCUUAUGUCCAGGGCUUCACGCAUGCUACAAUGGCUGGUACAGAGAGUGGCGAGCCUGUGAGGGUGAGCGAAUCUCGGAAAGCCGGUCUCAGUUCGAAUUGGGGUCUGCAACUCGACCUCAUGAAGUCGGAGUCGCUAGUAAUCGCAGAUCAGCAACGCUGCGGUGAAUACGUUCCCGGGGCU